RNAcentral lists this ribosomal RNA (253 nucleotides) under uncultured bacterium. RNAcentral's name for it is "partial 16S ribosomal RNA". It matches the Rfam family "Bacterial small subunit ribosomal RNA", at positions 524 to 776 of the family's 1533-position model. The record is from RNAcentral.
UACGAAGGGGGCUAGCGUUGUUCGGAAUCACUGGGCGUAAAGCGCUCGUAGGCGGAUCUUUAGGUCAGGGGUGAAAUCCCGAGGCUCAACCUCGGAACUGCCUUUGAUACUGGGGAUCUCGAGUCCGGGAGAGGUGAGUGGAACUGCGAGUGUAGAGGUGAAAUUCGUAGAUAUUCGCAAGAACACCAGUGGCGAAGGCGGCUCACUGGCCCGGUACUGACGCUGAGGAGCGAAAGCGUGGGGAGCAAACAGG